UGGGGAAUUUUGGACAAUGGGCGCAAGCCUGACCCAGCAACGCCGCGUGAAGGAUGAAGUAUUUCGGUAUGUAAACUUCGAAAGAAUAGGAGGAAUAAAUGACGGUACUAUUUAUAAGGUCCGGCUAACUCUGUGCCAGCAGCCGCGGUAAUACAGAGGUGGCAAGCGUUGUUCGGAAUUACUGGGCGUAAAGGGCGCGUAGGCGGCCUACUAAGUCAGACGUGAAAUCCCCCGGNUUAACCUGGGAACUGCGUCUGAUACUGGAAGGCUUGAGUAUGGGAGAGGGAUGUAGAAUUCCAGGUGUAGCGGUGAAAUGCGUAGAUAUCUGGAGGAACAUCUGAGGCGAAGGCGACUAUCUGGAUCACAACUGACGCUGAGGUACGAAAGCAUGGGUAGCAAACAGGAUUAGAUACCCGUGUAGUCCCUGAGCGGGCUGGCAAGGCGCAU
This 447-nucleotide ribosomal RNA is filed under the name uncultured bacterium. RNAcentral describes it as "bacterial SSU rRNA". It matches the Rfam family "Bacterial small subunit ribosomal RNA", at positions 355 to 825 of the family's 1533-position model. The record is from RNAcentral.